RNAcentral lists this small RNA (122 nucleotides) under unclassified sequences. Its description in RNAcentral is "LOOT RNA". It matches the Rfam family "LOOT RNA". Rfam says of the family: Latescibacteria, OD1/Parcubacteria, OP11, TM7. The record is from Rfam by way of RNAcentral.
CGCCUAAACCCAUAAUUUAAAUUGCGGGCAUGGCACAAACCCCACAUACGCAUACUGAACCCGUCGUUCAGGCUAUUGCAUAUGUGGUCAUAUUCCGAAAGGAAUAUGGAGGCGCAAGUCUC